This 1000-nucleotide long non-coding RNA is filed under the name Homo sapiens (human). Its description in RNAcentral is "non-protein coding lnc-NLRP3-1:7". Lineage: Eukaryota; Metazoa; Chordata; Mammalia; Primates; Hominidae. The record is from RNAcentral.
GCAAGUCUGAGGCCCCUUUCCCGCGCCCUCUGGUGGAAAGUGUUCGCUUUUCUGUCCACCCAUGUGAAGGAUUCACCCCGACCCUCCUCAGGUGGCCUUUACUUUGCAGGAGCAAAGCAAGUUGGAUGAGGAGAUACAUGUAUGUGGCACACAGCUUUCUUCACUUAGCAACACGUCAGAUGCAGCGUAGAUGUGCGGAUGAAACCACCAUUGCAAAAUUAUCACUGAGACAGUCAGAGAAACCUGACAUGGCUGACUCCAUGUUGCUUUUAGCCUCACAGGCUGGCUCUCUUAGCUCAUUCCUAAGCAUGGGCCUGAAACUGCCAUUGCAAAAUCGUAACUGAGACAGCAAAAGAGACUUGACCUAACCAACUCCAUCUUGCUUCUAACCUCCAAGCUGUCCUUGUUCAUUCCUGGGUGUAGGCUGAACUAACUUUGGGAGGAACUUAAUUUAUAGUUUAAAACAAAGACGAUAAGACGAUAACAGCCCUUUCUCAAAACAAACAUCCUUCCUGACUGGGGACUAGACUGCCUUUGUAGGAUUAACAAAUUAGCCACAAGAUCAGAAAUUAUAGUUUAGGAGUCAUGCAGCUGGAGGCUCUAAGAUUGUGACCCUCCCUAAACCGCUCAGUGCUUGAGAUGUUUUACAGACCCUGCACUUAAUGGAUCAGCUGGCACCACCCAGAUGGAUAAACUGGCUCAUGUGAUCUUGUGGCCCCCACCCAGGAACUGACUCAGUGCAAGAAGACAACUUCAAUUCCCUAUGAUUUAAUGUCCUACCGAAUCAAUCAGCACUCCUGACACACUGGCUUCCCCUCACCCACCAAAUUGUCCUUAAAACCUCUGAUCUCCAAAUGCUUGAGGAGACUGAUUUGAGUAAUAAUAAAACAAGGCUCCUGCACAGCCGGCUCUGCGCGAAUUACUCUUUCUCUACUGCAGUUCUCCUGUCAUGAUAAAUCGGCUCCAUCUAGGCAGCCAGCAAGGUGAACCCACUGGGUGG